CCUGCCAGUGAGCAGCUGCAGAGGCAACUUCCCAUUUGGCUGCCAGUUUCCUGAGGCAGAGAAGGCAGAAGUUCUGCUGCUGGCCAGAGCCACCCAUGGCUCUUGAGGUGACACAGGAAGGAACGCAGGUGACAAAUGAACAUGCUGGAGCACCUCGCUCCCCCAGCUUGCCGUGGAUAAAAAAGACCCAGGAAGCAGAGUGGUGACACCACCAAGCCUCGGAAUGAUCCAGCUUAUGGAGACGUUUGAUUAGAAAGUGCCACUGUGUCACAGCGUUCCCAUCCCACCUGCCUCUGUGAUUUUGAGGAAACUGCAGGAGAACACAUCUUUCCGGGCAAGCUGCCGUCGCUCACCAGUUGAUUCAUACACCAGAAGCUCUCACUUCUCUUUCGCUAACGAAGACCUGCUGCUUCUCCCAGGCUCUCCACUUCUGCCCUGACUCUGGGGCUGGUUUUUCACAAGAGAGUCCUGCCUCAGUUUUCCUCUCCUCCUUUUGAUAGGAAACAAGAAAAUUUGGCGUCUGAGUGUAAUACAGCUGGUUUUCCUCCCAAA
Ailuropoda melanoleuca (giant panda) is the source of this 552-nucleotide long non-coding RNA. RefSeq lists it as uncharacterized. The record is from RefSeq and is a predicted model, not a curated record. The transcript has 2 exons. Lineage: Eukaryota; Metazoa; Chordata; Mammalia; Carnivora; Ursidae.